UAUGGCUCCUGUGUCCCGUUUCCAGGCCAGCAGUUUCGCUGGUUACUGGUCCCAGCCACACUUCAGCCAGCUGGGUGGACGUGAGAGCUCACCCUUGGACUCACGGCGAUGCCUGCGAAUUGGGGUCUUCAAUCUGGAUGAAGUGCAGAGGGCCAGCUGCUCUGGGAGCUGGUCGUGUGCGGACUGCUGACCGUGCUACUGGUUAGAAUACCACUAACCAGCUGUAACUAGCUGCUGUAAAGAACGUGGCCCUCGAAAUCCCAGUGGCUGGACAUAGCGGGAAGUUGUUAUUUUUCCAGCUUUAUUGAGGUAUAAUUGACAGUUAAAAUUGUAUAUCUUUAAGGUGCCUAAGUUGAUGACUUGAUAUAUGGAGACACUGUGGAAUAUUCACCACAAUCAGGCUAAUUAACACAUCCCUCACCUCGGUUAGUUACCACUUUCUUCUUUUUCUUUUCUGUGGUAGCAACAAUUAAGCUUGACCCUCUUAGCAGAUUUCAGGUGCACAGCACAGUAUUUUCACUCUAGCCACACCAAUGUACAUUAGAUCCCAGAACUUACCCGUCUUCAUAACUAAAGCUUUGUACCCCUGACCAACAUCCCCCCACAUUGCAGAUUUAUGGUAUGGAUGGAUGGAUGGGUGGAUGGAUAGAUGAAGGAUGGAUAAAAGUCAAACAGUUUCACUAUAGAAAAGUUAGAAAAUUAAAUUCAAAUUACAGCAAUCAAACAAGAAUCAAAUCAACCCACAACCCAUGACUAAAGAACAUGCUUUUAACAGUUUUCAUCUUUAUUUUGGCUUAUACACAUGAUAGGAAUUUUAUUUGUAACGAGAUCAUCUUUUAACUUUGUUUUAUGACUUACAUUUUUCAUAUUAUCAAGUGCUCUCGGUCAUCUUAAGUCCUCAGUGUCCCCUCGCCGCCUGUGUGGUAAGUCACCCACCAGUUUCCCGCCGGGGCUUAUUAGAAGGUGUCUCCGUGACUGUUGUGGACGGUGCUGCCGUGACCAGCUUUGUCAUCGUAACCGUGACUGUUCUCUAGGCUCCCUGGACAAGUUCCUCCAGGUGGGAUUGUCGAGCUGCUGCAAGCGGACAUUUUAAGUAUUUGUGUUGUCAGCUGGCGUCCAGGGUGUGGAUGAUGGUUUUCACUUCUGUCGGCAGCGUGUGAUGGCACCUACUUCUCCCAUCCUUCCCAACACUGGGGUUUUAAUUUUUUAAAUGUUAAAUGAACACUGCUCCCUGUGGCCACAUAAUAUGUCAUUCAUUGCCACUGGACACCCCUGUCUCAGCACUGCCCUUCCAGGGUUGUUUUUAUUUAUUUUUUGUUACCCUUCCAGUUUUUCAAAACCAUUUUCUUCCAGGGCUCCUGCUGACAGCCCGGUGGACACAAGGCCCUGUGCAGACACCCCUUCCCGCAGACGUGUGCGCGGCGGUGAGAGCAGCGCAGGCUAGAAGCCAGGCCUUCCGUUUCCAGGUGCUGUGUACCAUCCACCGGCUGUGAGCAGAAGGUUCCAGUUACUAUCUGACGGCCGAGUUCCUGGGAAUUUCAGAGGAGAGAGGACACUGCUCAUUAAAGACGCCGUGCUCUGCUCCGGCUGUGCCCCGGCCGGCCAGCCCUUCUCCCCUGGGCCGCGGCGGUGGCCGCACAGGGUGGUGCCCUUGAGGGCGUUACCUGGCUCAUCGCCGCUUCAGUGCUUGCCUCUGUCGCGUGUGCACAGCUCCUGCCCUCCGGGCCGACCGGGAGCCCCAGGGGGCCAAGCUUUAGAGACGGCUGCUCACAUCAGAGACGAGACAGGAGCUGAGAAGAGGACACAGCACAGACCGUCACAUUGAUGGGUCUCACCAGCCUGGAUGCUCUGAUUCCAGAUGCAAUGGCAGUUUCGUAUAUAAAAACACCAGGCUUUCUGGCUGGAGUAUUUUGGUCUCUGUACCUGCGCCUUGAUGACAUUUGAGGCUCCUUGGGUCCCUGGGAUGCCAGCUGUGUAUUUGCUGGGCCCAUGGGCACCCUCACACGAGACAGGGUGCUUUACUACCUCACUUUGCAGAGUGUCAGAGCUGGCACAAAGUUCAGCUUA
Long non-coding RNA from Hipposideros armiger (great roundleaf bat), 2067 nucleotides. RefSeq lists it as uncharacterized. Lineage: Eukaryota; Metazoa; Chordata; Mammalia; Chiroptera; Hipposideridae. The record is from RefSeq and is a predicted model, not a curated record. The transcript has 3 exons.